This is a non-coding RNA of Kwoniella sp. CBS 6097, 87 nucleotides long. Lineage: Eukaryota; Fungi; Basidiomycota; Tremellomycetes; Tremellales; Cryptococcaceae. The record is from the annotation of a GenBank genome assembly.
GGCCUAAUAGCUCAGUGGUAGAGCGAUAGUUUCACUGCCUUUUACAGACAACACUACAGGUCCACGGUUCGAACCCGUGUUGGGUCA